AUUGAACGCUGGCGGCAUGCUUUACACAUGCAAGUCGAACGGUAACAGGUUAAGCUGACGAGUGGCGAACGGGUGAGUAAUGCAUCGGAACGUGCCCGAUCGUGGGGGAUAACGCAGCGAAAGCUGCGCUAAUACCGCAUACGAUCUGAGGAUGAAAGCGGGGGACCGUAAGGCCUCGCGCGAUCGGAGCGGCCGAUGUCAGAUUAGGUAGUUGGGGGGGUAAAGGCUCACCAAGCCGACGAUCUGUAGCUGGUCUGAGAGGACGGCCAGCCACACUGGGACUGAGACACGGCCCAGACUCCUACGGGAGGCAGCAGUGGGGAAUUUUGGACAAUGGGCGCAAGCCUGAUCCAGCAAUGCCGCGUGCAGGAAGAAGGCCUUCGGGUUGUAAACUGCUUUUGUACGGAGCGAAAAGGCUCUCUCUAAUACAGGGGGCUCAUGACGGUACCGUAAGAAUAAGCACCGGCUAACUACGUGCCAGCCGCCGCCGUAA
RNAcentral lists this ribosomal RNA (493 nucleotides) under uncultured bacterium. RNAcentral describes it as "partial 16S ribosomal RNA". It matches the Rfam family "Bacterial small subunit ribosomal RNA", at positions 29 to 523 of the family's 1533-position model. The record is from RNAcentral.